CAAAUCAGGUAGGACUACCCGCUGAACUUAAGCAUAUCAAUAAGCGGAGGAAAAGAAACUAACAAGGAUUCCCCUAGUAACUGCGAGUGAAGCGGGAAAAGCUCAAAUUUAAAAUCUGGCGGUCCUUGUGGCUGUCCGAGUUGUAAUCUAGAGAAGUGCUAUCCGCGCUGGACCGUGUACAAGUCUCCUGGAACGGAGCGUCAUAGAGGGUGAGAAUCCCGUCUUUGACACGGACUACCAGGGCUUUGUGAUGUGCUCUCAAAGAGUCGAGUUGUUUGGGAAUGCAGCUCUAAAUGGGUGGUAAAUUCCAUCUAAAGCUAAAUAUUGGCGAGAGACCGAUAGCGAACAAGUACCGUGAGGGAAAGAUGAAAAGAACUUUGGAAAGAGAGUUAAACAGUACGUGAAAUUGUUGAAAGGGAAACGCUUGAAGUCAGUCGCGUUGGCCGGGGAUCAACCUUGCUCUUUUGCUUGGCGUACUUUCCGGUCGACGGGUCAGCAUCAAUUUUGACCGGUGGAUAAAGGUCAGGGGAAUGUGGCAUCUUCGGAUGUGUUAUAGCCCUUGGUCGCAUACAUCGAUUGGGAUUGAGGAACUCAGCACGCCGCAAGGCCGG
This 611-nucleotide ribosomal RNA is filed under the name Clitocybe sp. X-79. RNAcentral's name for it is "eukaryotic LSU rRNA". It matches the Rfam family "Eukaryotic large subunit ribosomal RNA", at positions 1 to 614 of the family's 3401-position model. Lineage: Eukaryota; Fungi; Basidiomycota; Agaricomycetes; Agaricales; Clitocybaceae. The record is from RNAcentral.